GGUUUGAUUAUGGCUCAGAUUGAACGCUGGCGGGAUGCUUUACACAUGCAAGUCGAACGGCAGCACGGACUUCGGUCUGGUGGCGAGUGGCAGACGGGUGAGUAAUGUAUCGGAACGUGCCUAGUAGCGGGGGAUAACUACGCGAAAGCGUAGCUAAUACCGCAUACGCCCUUCGGGGAAAGCGGGGGACCUUCGGGCCUCGCACUAUUAGAGCGGCCGAUAUCAGGAUUUAGCUAGUUGGUGGGGUAACGGCUCGCAAGGCGACGAUCCGUAGCUGGUUUGAGAGGACGACCAGCCACACUGGGACUGAGACGGCCCAGACUCCUACGGGAGGCAGCAGUGGGGAAUUUUGGACAAUGGAAACGAUUAGCCAUCCGCGUGUGCGAUGAAGGCCUUCGGGUUGUAAAGCACUUUUGGCAGGAAAGAAACGGCACGGGAUAAUACCCGAUGCAACUGACGGUGCCUGCAGAAUAAGCACCGGCUAACUACGUGCCAGCAGCCGCUAGUGUACGUGAGGUGCAAGCGUUAAUCGGAAUUACUGGGCGUAAAGCGUGCGCAGGCGGUUCGGAAGAAAGAUGUGAAAUCCCAGAGCUUAACUUUGGAACUGCAUUUUUAACUACCGAGCUAGAGUGUGUCGAGAGUGGAAUUCACGUGUAGCAGUGAAAUGCGUAGAUAUGCGGAGGAACACCGAUGGCGAAGGCAGCCUCCUGGGAUAACACUGACGCUCAUGCACGAAAGCGUGGGGAGCAAACAGGAUUAGAUACCCUGGUAGUCCACGCCCUAAACGAUGUCAACUAGCUGUUGGGGCCUUCGGGCCUUGGUAGCGCAGCUAACGCGUGAAGUUGACCGCCUGGGGAGUGAUUACGGUCGCAAGAUUAAAACUCAAAGGAAUUGACGGGGACCCGCACAAGCGGUGGAUGAUGUGGAUUAAUUCGAUGCAACGCGAAAACCUUACCUACCCUUGACAUGUCUGGAAUCCCGAAGAGAUUUGGGAGUGCUCGCAAGAGAACCGGAACACAGGUGCUGCAUGGCUGUCGUCAGCUCGUGUCGUGAGAUGUUGGGUUAAGUCCGCAACGAGCGCAACCCUUGUCAUUAGUUGCUACGAGGCACUCUAAUGAGACUGCCGGUGACAAACCGGAAGGUGGGGAUGACGUCAAGUCCUCUUGGCCCUUAUGGGUAGGGCUUCACACGUCAUACAAUGGUCGGGACAGAGGGUCGCCAACCCGCGAGGGAAUAAUCCCAGAAACCCGAUCGUAGUCCGGAUCGCAGUCUGCAACUCGACUGCGUGAAGUCGGAAUCGCUAGUAAUCGCGGAUCAGCAUGUCGCGGUGAAUACGUUCCGGGUCUUGUACACACCGCCCGUCACACCAUGGGAGUGGGUUUUACCAGAAGUAGUUAGCCUAACCGUAAGGAGGGCGAUUACCACGGUAGGAUUCAUGACUGGGGUGAAGUCGUAACAAAGGUAG
RNAcentral lists this ribosomal RNA (1465 nucleotides) under uncultured Bordetella sp. RNAcentral describes it as "partial 16S-23S ribosomal RNA intergenic spacer". It matches the Rfam family "Bacterial small subunit ribosomal RNA". The record is from RNAcentral. Lineage: Bacteria; Pseudomonadati; Pseudomonadota; Betaproteobacteria; Burkholderiales; Alcaligenaceae.